RNAcentral lists this ribosomal RNA (870 nucleotides) under Rotylenchus robustus. RNAcentral describes it as "SSU rRNA". It matches the Rfam family "Eukaryotic small subunit ribosomal RNA", at positions 72 to 939 of the family's 1831-position model. Lineage: Eukaryota; Metazoa; Nematoda; Chromadorea; Rhabditida; Hoplolaimidae. The record is from RNAcentral.
UGCCAGACAGGGAAACUGCGUACGGCUCAUUACACCAGCCUUAAUUUACUUGACCUUGACAACCUACUUGGAUAACUGUGGUAAUUCUAGAGCUAAUACAUGCACCAAAGCUCCGAUCCCUUGCUGGAGAGGAGCGCAUUUGUUCGCCACAAAACCAAGCGCCCUCACGGGCGUUCAGUGUUGACUCAGAAUAACUAAGCUGAUCGCACGGUCUUGCACCGGCGACGUGUCUUUCAAGUGUCUGCCUUAUCAACUUUCGAUGGUAGUGUACCUGACUACCAUGGUGAUGACGGGUAACGGAGGAUAAGGGUUCGACUCCGGAGAAGGGGCCUGAGAAAUGGCCACUACGUCUAAGGAUGGCAGCAGGCGCGCAAAUUACCCACUCUCAAUUCGAGGAGGUAGUGACGAGAAAUAACGAGACCGUUCUCACAAGAGGCCGGUCAUCGGAAUGGGUACAAUCUAAACCCUUUAACGAGUAUCUAUGAGAGGGCAAGUCUGGUGCCAGCAGCCGCGGUAAUUCCAGCUCUCAAAAUGCAUAGAAUUAUUGCUGCGGUUAAAAAGCUCGUAGUUGGAUCUGUGCUGGCCGCCCGGUCUACCCACUGGGUACGUACUGGUGUGGUCGGCUUUCUGUCCGGUUUCUCCCGGCGUUGGCCUUCACCGGUCGGCGACGGUGGCUGGACAAGUUUACUUUGAACAAAUCAGAGUGCUUCAAACAGGCGUUUCGCUUGAAUGUUCGUGCAUGGAAUAAUAGAAGAGGAUUUCGGUCCGAUUUUAUUGGUUUUGCUGACCGAGAUAAUGGUUAACAGAGACAAACGGGGCCAUUCGUAUUGCUACGUGAGAGGUGAAAUUCUUGGACCGUAGCAAGACGGA